CCUACGGGUGGCAGCAGUGGGGAAUAUUGCACAAUGGGCGGAAGCCUGAUCCAGCAACGCCGCGUGAAGGAAGAAGUAUUUCGGCACGUAAAGCUCUAUCAGCAGGGACGAAAGAAAUGACGGUACCUGACUAAGAAGCCCCGGCUAACUACGUGCCAGCAGCCGCGGUAAUACGUAGGGGGCAAGCGUUAUCCGGAUUUACUGGGUGUAAAGGGAGCGUAGACGGCGAUGCAAGUGUGAAGUGAAAGGCGGGGGCCCAACCCGUGGACUGCAUUUGAAACUGUAAGGCUGGAGUGCAGGAGAGGAAAGCGGAAUUCCUAGUGUAGCGGUGAAAUGCGUAGAUAUUAGGAGGAACACCAGUGGCGAAGGCGGCUUUCUGGACUGAAACUGACGCUGAGGCACGAAAGCGUGGGGAGCGAACAGGAUUAGAUACCCCUGUAGUC
This 443-nucleotide ribosomal RNA is filed under the name uncultured bacterium. RNAcentral describes it as "partial 16S ribosomal RNA". It matches the Rfam family "Bacterial small subunit ribosomal RNA", at positions 338 to 795 of the family's 1533-position model. The record is from RNAcentral.